AUCACCAAAACAAAUCAUAUUAUCAUAAAAAGUCAUACAUUUCAGAAACUCAUAAGAGAGAAAGAAGCAAAAUUCCUAUAAUUACUUUGACAAAUAAACCUUGAAACAAUCGAUAGAGCGGCAUAAAUAGAGCUGAAGGACAUUUAGCCGCGAUUUUGCAAGCAAACAGCAGAGACAGCAGUGCAACAUCAAUGCAAAUCAACGGACAACGAGCGGCAGUUCCAAGGCUCCAAAACAGCGGAAAAUGACCACAAACGGAACGGGGACUCGAUGACCUUGAACGUCUCCAGCGCUCAACCCCGAACAACUCACCGAAUGGACUUCAAAAUGGACUCCAUGAACUUGAAAUUGAAAAUCGAAAUUGAAACAGAAGAGAAGAGGCAGAAGCUUCUCUGUUUGUUUUUGUUGGAUUAAAAAUCAGGGCGUCCUCUUCUCACUCUGUUUUUCGCUUAAGUUGGUGUGUGUGUGUGAGAGCAGUGAGGAGCAGCGGUUGCUUCUUGGGUGGGAGGUGGUCUGUUCCAGCGGUUUUGGGUGGAAACAGAAGGUUGAAGCUGGUUGUUUGGCGUCGAUUUCAGGUUCAGAGAGUGGACUGGUGAGGGUGCCGCUACUGGUUUUGGUCUUAGAGUGUAGAAGAAGAUGGGUUCUUUCGUUUUUCUUUAUGGGGUGCGUCCAAGAAGAUGAGAUCCAGGGGGUGGAGGUUGUUGAAGAAACAGGCGCGGUUUUUUGGUUUUUUCAGGGGUGACUGAUUCUAUGCUCU
This 757-nucleotide long non-coding RNA is filed under the name Nicotiana benthamiana. RNAcentral describes it as "long non-coding RNA (NBEN_LNC022613)". The record is from RNAcentral. Lineage: Eukaryota; Viridiplantae; Streptophyta; Magnoliopsida; Solanales; Solanaceae.